Cicer arietinum (chickpea) is the source of this 629-nucleotide long non-coding RNA. RefSeq lists it as uncharacterized. The record is from RefSeq and is a predicted model, not a curated record. Lineage: Eukaryota; Viridiplantae; Streptophyta; Magnoliopsida; Fabales; Fabaceae.
AACCUCGUCGCCUUCUGAGAGUGGUGGCGGUGGAAACAAGAGAAGAAGAAGAGUGGUGUUUCCGGCAAAAGGGAACUGAGAUCUAAGAAGUGUAUAAGCAAAAACGUAACAGAAAACAAUGUGGAUGUAUACUUUGAAACUAAACAAUACAAAAAGGAACUCAAAACAGCCGAUGCCAGUUUGAAAAAAAUUCCAGAUCAUGGAGAAACUUUAUCAAUGAAGGGUUUGACAUUAAAUUGCAUGGAUCGUAAAUCUAAAGCAUAUGAAGUGGUUUGCCAAGGAUUGAAGAGCAUCAAAAGCUAUUGAAAUUCUGGAAGCAUAUGAAGGGGCAUUAAAAGAUUAUCCUCCAGAAAGUGAACGGAUUGAGCAUGGGGAAAUGCUUUUAUAUAUAAGGUUGUUGCAUGGAGUUUUGUUCCUGGUAAGCAACUGGAGCAAAAGAAAAGAAAGAAGAUUGUCAAUCCUACUACACUCGUUGUACCUCUUGCCAAACAUUUAAGGAGAUAAAAGGAUAUAUAUUGUUUACCCGUUUUUGAAAUAUUUUAGUUUAUAUGAUCAUGUACAAUGUGUGUAUAUAUUAUACUCAUAUUUUCUAUAAAGUAAAGCCUUUGGUUUAUACAUUAUAAUUAAAA